Molecule: ribosomal RNA, 465 nt
Filed under: uncultured bacterium
Lineage: Bacteria
Description: partial 16S ribosomal RNA
Rfam family: Bacterial small subunit ribosomal RNA
Source: RNAcentral
CCUACGGGAGGCAGCAGUAGGGAAUCUUCCACAAUGGGCGCAAGCCUGAUGGAGCAACACCGCGUGAGUGAAGAAGGGUUUCGGCUCGUAAAGCUCUGUUGUUGGAGAAGAACGUGCGUGAGAGUAACUGUUCACGCAGUGACGGUAUCCAACCAGAAAGUCACGGCUAACUACGUGCCAGCAGCCGCGGUAAUACGUAGGUGGCAAGCGUUAUCCGGAUUUAUUGGGCGUAAGGCGAGCGCAGGCGGUUGCUUAGGUCUGAUGUGAAAGCCUUCGGCUUAACCGAAGAAGUGCAUCGGAAAACGAGCAACUUGAGUGCAGAAGAGGACAGUGGAACUCCAUGUGUAGCGGUUGAAUGCGUAGAUAUAUGGAAGAACACCAGUGGCGAAGGCGGCUGUCUGGUCUGCAACUGACGCUGAGGCUCGAAAGCAUGGGUAGCGAACAGGAUUAGAUACCCCUGUAGUC